UACGGGGGGGGCAAGCGUUGUUCGGAAUUACUGGGCGUAAAGGGCUCGUAGGCGGCCAACUAAGUCAGACGUGAAAUCCCCAGGCUUAACCUGGGAACUGCGUCUGAUACUGGAUGGCUUGAGUGCAGGAGAGGAACGCGGAAUUCCAGGUGUAGCGGUGAAAUGCGUAGAUAUCUGGAGGAACACCGGUGGCGAAGGCGGCGUUCUGGACUGCAACUGACACUGAGGAACGAAAGCCAGGGGAGCAAACGGG
Molecule: ribosomal RNA, 253 nt
Filed under: uncultured bacterium
Lineage: Bacteria
Description: partial 16S ribosomal RNA
Rfam family: Bacterial small subunit ribosomal RNA
Source: RNAcentral